CAAGGGGGAGAAAGAGAACCGGAGCCCUGCAUGAACUCCCCAGCGAAGCCAGGCCAGGCUGGUCUCUCUCUCUAAUAUGUUAUCUUAUCGAUUGACUGGCUGGAGUUGCAGCACAACUUGUAACAGCCCAAACCUGGAAGCAACCUGGGUGCCCAGCAACAGAAGAGUGGCUGAGCAAGCUGUGGUCUAGAUACACAGUGGAAUAUUAUUUAGCUAUUAAGAAUGACAAAGUCACCUUCUUCACCUUAUCUUGGAUGGAGCUUGAAGAAAUCAUGUUAAGUGAGAUAAGCCAAUCUAUUUUUUAUGGUAAAUGACUCCAUACCGCCCGAGGUGUCGGGAAACACGGAAGGUUCCAGAGACGACGCUGCCAACAAAAUGCCAGGACCCUCUGAGGGCCAGGCUCAGACACGCUGGAAGGUUCCAGAAGCCUACGCUUAUGGCACCCCUUAACGCACCCCGGGCAGACGGACCUCCCUGCGAAUGCUAUCAAAGUUCCCCGCCCCCUUUAAUGAGCAAGGGGGUAUCAGAGGAAGGAGAGGAGGAGGAAAGGAUUUGGAUGGGGACGGAAUUUAAUUUUAAAACUAUUAUGAGACAGCCCGCUCGCCUGGCCCUCCCCUGCACCAAGCACAUAAAUCUUCCCAGCUCAGCUCUCUGUUCUCCAUUUUCCUGAGAAUUCCUCUUCUCGGAAAAGGCAGGCUGGUCCGUCUGAGUCAGCCUGGGAAUGGCGUUUUUAAUAAUGGAUAUUCAUCUACCAGAUUCCCGUGAACUAAAAUGUCACUGUGCAUGUAUGAUAUAUAUGCACAGGUCUCCGUCUAUUAAUAUUAUAUAAAUGGGGUCCUAAGCCAAGUGGCAUUUCUUCUCACAGGCAGAA
Molecule: long non-coding RNA, 871 nt
Organism: Erinaceus europaeus (western European hedgehog)
Lineage: Eukaryota; Metazoa; Chordata; Mammalia; Eulipotyphla; Erinaceidae
Exons: 3
Source: RefSeq, a predicted model, not a curated record